Molecule: non-coding RNA, 349 nt
Organism: Callorhinus ursinus (northern fur seal)
Lineage: Eukaryota; Metazoa; Chordata; Mammalia; Carnivora; Otariidae
Source: RefSeq, a predicted model, not a curated record
CCUUCCCUGAAGGUUUUACUGGGCUGUUGGGACAGACCUUCAGUACGGACACGAAGGCCUCGUUCCCGACGCGGUUCUGUCCUCCGCGGUUUCAGCAACACGGAGGAGGACAGCGUCAACUCCGACACACAUCCUUUUUGGCCUCAAGGACCUCGCCUGGGCGGGCUCUUAGAUUCGAGGAUUCAGCACCAUGGACAGACCUUCCGCUUUCCUCUCGCGCCCCGCGGAAUGGGAGUGAGCACUGCAGACAGCCCACUCCCCUCUUCACAGACUACAGGUGGAUCCAGCAUUGUGCACAGAGCCCCAAGUUUGAGAAUGAGAUAAGGAAACAGAAGCUCAGAGAGAUGAA